UGUUGCCAAGUCUUAAAGGGCACACGGUGAAUGCCUUGGCAAGAGGAGCCGAUGAAGGACGUGGGAGUCUGCGAAAAGCCUCGGGAAGGUGACAACCGACCUGUGAUCCGAGGAUGUCCGAAUGGGGAAACCCACCAGGGGUCAUGCCCUGGUACCCGCCACUGAAUGUAUAGGUGGUGUGGAGGGAACGCGGGGAAGUGAAACAUCUCAGUACCCGCAGGAAGAGAAAACAAAUAGUGAUUCCGUGAGUAGUGGCGAGCGAAAGCGGAUGAGGCUAAACCAAGCCUGUGUGAUACCCGGCAGGGGUUGCAGGUUGGGGGUUGUGGGACGUGCUGGACUGUUCUGCCGGACGGUCGACGUGAAUGUGUGAUGGUAGUCGAAGUCGUGUUGAGUGCGACGGCGUAGAGGGUGUGACCCCCGUAGACGAAACUGUUGCAUGGCGUUGAGUGCUGUUCCCGAGUAGCACCGGACCCGUGAAAUCCGGUGUGAAUCUGCCAGGACCACCUGGUAAGCCUGAAUACUACCUCUUGACCGAUAGCGGACAAGUACCGUGAGGGAAAGGUGAAAAGUACCCCGGGAGGGGAGUGAAAUAGUACCUGAAACCGUGUGCUUACAAUCCGUCGGAGCCUUACGGGGUGACGGCGUGCCUUUUGAAGAAUGAGCCUGCGAGUUAGUGGUCGGUGGCGAGGUUAACCCGUGUGGGGUAGCCGUAGCGAAAGCGAGUCUGAACGGGGCGUUCAGUCGCCGGCUCUAGACCCGAAGCGAAGUGAUCUAUCCAUGGGCAGUGUGAAGCGCGGGUAAGACCGCGUGGAGGCGCGAACCCACUUCAGUUGAAAAUGGAGGGGAUGACCUGUGGAUAGGGGUGAAAGGCCAAUCAAACUUCGUGAUAGCUGGUUCUCCCCGAAAUGCAUUUAGGUGCAGCGUUGCGUGUUUCGUGCCGGAGGUAGAGCACUGGAUAGGCGAUGGGCCCCACCGGGUUACUGACCUUAGCCAAACUCCGAAUGCCGGUACGUGAGAGCGCAGCAGUGAGACUGUGGGGGAUAAGCUUCAUAGUCGAGAGGGAAACAGCCCAGAACAUCAGCUAAGGCCCCUAAGCGUGUGCUAAGUGGAAAAGGAUGUGAAGUUGCUGAGACAACCAGGAGGUUGGCUUAGAAGCAGCCACCCUUGAAAGAGUGCGUAAUAGCUCACUGGUCAAGUGAUUUUGCGCCGACAAUGUAGCGGGGCUCAAGUACACCGCCGAAGCUGUGUCAUUCCGGUUCUGCCGGGAUGGGUAGGGGAGCGUCGAGCAGCCAGCGAAGCCGCGGGGGAACCCAGUGGUGGAGGCUGUUCGAGUGAGAAUGCAGGCAUGAGUAGCGAAAGACGGGUGAGAAACCCGUCCGCCGAAUGAUCAAGGGUUCCAGGGCUAGGUUAAUCCGCCCUGGGUUAGUCGGGACCUAAGGCGAGGCCGACAGGCGUAGUCGAUGGACAUCGGGUUGAUAUUCCCGAACCGAUCGUAGGAGGACCCAUACCGAGGCAGUCGAUGCUAACCACCCGAUCAGUCCUCUUGCCCUUCGGGGUGAGGGAUGCUGUGAGGCUGGGAACCAAGGUUGUAGUAGGUCAGCGCGAGGGAUGACGCAGAGAGGUAGCUUCCGCGGACUUAAUGGAAUAGUCCGUCUAAGCGUGCAGCCCGACCCCGGGUAAUGCUGGGGUCAUCAAGGGUGAGACGUGAUGGGGAUCCCGUAUGGGCGUAGGUGAGUGAUCCUGUACUGCCAAGAAAAGUUCCGGCGUGACGAAUACGGUCGCCCGUACCCUAAACCGACUCAGGUGAUCAGGUAGAGAAUACCAAGGCGUUCGAGAGAAUCGUGGUUAAGGAACUCGGCAAAAUGCCCCCGUAACUUCGGGAGAAGGGGGGCCUGAAGGGUGAGAGCCCUGAGGGCCGCAGAGACCAGGGAGAAGCGACUGUUUACUAAAAACACAGGUCCGUGCGAAGUCGUAAGACGCUGUAUACGGACUGACGCCUGCCCGGUGCUGGAAGGUUAAGAGGACCGGUUAGCUCUUUGGAGCGAAGCUGAGAAUUUAAGCCCCAGUAAACGGCGGUGGUAACUAUAACCAUCCUAAGGUAGCGAAAUUCCUUGUCGGGUAAGUUCCGACCUGCACGAAUGGCGUAACGACUUCUCCACUGUCUCAACCGCGAACUCGGCGAAAUUGCAUUACGAGUAAAGAUGCUCGUUACGCGCAGCAGGACGGAAAGACCCCGGGACCUUUACUAUAGUUUGGUAUUGGUGUUCGGAACGGCUUGUGUAGGAUAGGUGGGAGACUGGGAAGCAUUCACGCUAGUGAGUGUGGAGUCGUUGUUGAAAUACCACUCUGGUCGUUCUGGAUUCCUAACCUCGGUCCGUGAUCCGGAUCAGGGACAGUGCCUGAUGGGUAGUUUAACUGGGGCGGUUGCCUCCCAAAAAGUAACGGAGGCGCUCAAAGGUUCCCUCAGCCUGGUUGGCAAUCAGGUGUUGAGUGUAAGUGCACAAGGGAGCUUGACUGCGAGACAGACAUGUCGGGCAGGUGCGAAAGCAGGAACUAGUGAUCCGGCACCUCAUUGUGGAAUGGGUGUCGCUCAACGGAUAAAAGGUACCCCGGGGAUAACAGGCUGAUCUUGCCCAAGAGCUCAUAUCGACGGCAUGGUUUGGCACCUCGAUGUCGGCUCGUCGCAUCCUGGGGCUGGAGUUGGUCCCAAGGGUUAGGCUGUUCGCCUAUUAAAGCGGUACGCGAGCUGGGUUUAGAACGUCGUGAGACAGUUCGGUCCCUAUCCGCUGCGCGCGUUGGAUAUUUGAGAAGACCUGUCCCUAGUACGAGAGGACCGGGAUGGACUGACCUCUGGUGUGCCAGUUGUUCUGCCAAGAGCAUGGCUGGUUGGCUACGUCGGGAAGGGAUAACCGCUGAAAGCAUCUAAGCGGGAAGCCUGCUUCAAGAUGAGAUAUCCGUGCCCCUUGUGGGUGAGAGGCCCCCAGUAGAUGACUGGGUUGAUAGGCCAGAUGUGGAAGCACAGCAAUGUGUGGAGCUGACUGGUACUAAUGGCCGAUGACUUAUCAACAUCAAAGUUUU
Molecule: ribosomal RNA, 3078 nt
Filed under: Brachybacterium sp. SGAir0954
Lineage: Bacteria; Bacillati; Actinomycetota; Actinomycetes; Micrococcales; Dermabacteraceae
Description: 23S ribosomal RNA
Rfam family: Bacterial large subunit ribosomal RNA
Source: RNAcentral